GAGACAAGUACCUGUGUUAGGAAAUUUGUUCUCCACCGACUGUUGUAUCAUGCUGGGUGUAACUGCAAACUGGAAAUUCUGCAUUUCGUAUAUCAAGAAACACCUUCUGCUCCUACAAUCUCAAGCACAGCAACUCUACUUUAUCUUAACACUGGGAAACGUUUUGUAUAACUGUGUCUGUACUCCUUAACGGUCACAACCACACUUUCCAUACAUCAAUUUUCUGAUAAUAUUUUAAGUAAUUGUUUCUUUAUAUAAAUACUAAGAAAUAUGUAGCUUUCUGUUUUCAAUUUCAAAAUUUCAUCAGUUUUUGGGGUUUUGGAAGAGAGGAAGAAUGGCGGUAGGAGAGUAGUUGACAACACUCAACCAAUGGUUGGUUAUGCUUUGUCACUAAUCUCUGUGCAUUUUGACUAAUCCAAUAGGCAUACAUCAAUGAUGUUCAAACAGAAAGCACAUUUCAGUGUUGUCUUUCUGAUUUUCUUAUUUACUUUAAUAUGCAGAGUUUAUUUACUAAUGGCUUCCUGUAUAUGCUGCAAAUUUACAAUUUCUUUCACUCAUUAGUUGAGGAAAUACAAAAGGGCAAAGCAAUGAAGGACCAAUUCUUUAUAGUUUAAUGGCAGAAACUUCAUUCAGGCACUUAUAUUGUAACAAGAAGAAAUUUUUGCCUGAUGAAACAAGUGCUGAAUCUUCUGAGUGCUUCAGUAUCCAAUGGUCAUGGGAUCAUGAACUGUUAAAGGAAGGAAUUCGAACAUAAUGAUAUUUACCUUCUCUGAUUAUGGCUGAAGCUAUUAUUUCCGGUGUCUUGGAGCAGCUGAUUUCAAUCAUUGCUGAAGCGAUACAACAGGAGGUGAGGCUAGUUGUUGGUGUUGACAAAGAAGCUAAAAAGCUCAGGAGCAAUAUUGAAGCUAUUCAAGCUGUGCUUCUUAAUGCAGAGGAAAGACAAGUGAAGGAGAGAAAUGUCAGACGUUGGUUAGGUCGGCUCAAGGACACUUCUUAUGACAUUAAAGAUGUGAUGGAUGAGUGGAACCAUGCUUUGUUAAAACAGAGCAUUGACGGGGUUGAAAAUGCCCUUGUUCCUAAUAAAGAGUUGAUUUACUAGUUCAAUGGCUUCCUAUUUAUGCUGGGAAUUUACAAUUUCUGUCACUCAUCAAAAGAGAAUAUACUCAAGGGAAAAACAGUAAAGGACCAUUUUUUAUAGUUCAAGGGCAGAAUCUUCAUUGAGGCACUUCUAGCAAGAAGAAACUUUUGCCUAAUGAAACAAGUGCUGAGUCUUCUGGUUUUCACAUUUCCUUGUGUGGUUCAGCAUCAAAUGAUCAUGGAAUGAUGAAUCGAUAGAGAGAAGGAAUUCGAAUAUAACGGAACAGGCAUGCUAAAUUUGGAAAUCUAAUCAAUGAAAGUGGUGACUAGUACCCAGAUAUAAAGUAGUUUAUUUGGUUGAGAGAGAUCAUAGUUUUCAUGUAUUUUCAGUUGUUCAGUUGGGAUAGAAUCUUAUAGGGUAUUGGUUUUACAUAUCUUUUGAAAGACUUUUCUGUUAAUAUGUAUUUGGUCUUAGAGGCCUGUAAAAUUUUUGUUUCUUUGUGUGACAAAAGCCUUCUUAUACAAGUAAAUAUAGUCGAGGAAUUCUUAGUUAUAGCAUUUGCCUGCAAAUAUGUAAAUAUUGGAAUAUAUUUUCCAUCUUCCUUUUCUUAA
This is a long non-coding RNA of Pistacia vera, 1689 nucleotides long. RefSeq lists it as uncharacterized. NCBI's taxonomy places the organism in Eukaryota, Viridiplantae, Streptophyta, Magnoliopsida, Sapindales, Anacardiaceae. The record is from RefSeq and is a predicted model, not a curated record. The transcript has 5 exons.